Molecule: ribosomal RNA, 326 nt
Filed under: uncultured eukaryote
Lineage: Eukaryota
Description: partial 18S ribosomal RNA
Rfam family: Eukaryotic small subunit ribosomal RNA
Source: RNAcentral
CCCUUAGAUGUUCUGGGCCGCACGCGCGCUACACUGAUGAAUUCAACGAGCACUAACCUGUGCAGAAAUGUUCGGGUAAUCUUGUGAAAUUUCAUCGUGAUGGGGAUUGAUUAUUGCAAUUAUUAAUCAUAAACGAGGAAUGCCUAGUAAGCGUGAGUCAUCAGCUCACGUUGAUUACGUCCCUGCCCUUUGUACACACCGCCCGUCGCUCCUACCGAUUGAAUGUGCUGGUGAAAAGUUCGGAUUGGGAAUAGGAGACGGCAACGUAUCCUGUUUCUGAGAAAAUCUUUAAACCCUCCCAUUUAGAGGAAGGAGAAGGCGUAACA